This 535-nucleotide long non-coding RNA is filed under the name Panax ginseng (ginseng). RNAcentral describes it as "long non-coding RNA (PGIN_LNC012621)". Lineage: Eukaryota; Viridiplantae; Streptophyta; Magnoliopsida; Apiales; Araliaceae. The record is from RNAcentral.
AUUUAUUAAAAGAAAUCCAAGGACGGACAAUUGUACAGAAUAAUUUGGAAGCCAAAAAGAGAGGCCAAGAAAAUAUUGUUGCUCCUUUCUAUUUCAAUGACGUCUCUCAACACAAAGUCGCAAGUUUCAGCCUCUACUAUCAAGUAGUCUUCCUUGAUGUUUCUAAUAAUUUAAAUGGUUACAAUACAAAAUCUAUUAUGCUUUCAGAUUCUCUUGUAAGGAGGAAGCUAAUUACUCCAGACAAUCAAAACUAAAGCUCCUAAUGAAAGAGAAUCAAUUAGCUGCUCAGUCAAGAUCAUUAUUCUUAAGGUGUUGCUGGAAGUUGUAUGCCCGUACCUGUCGACUGUUAAGAGGUAUGGAGAACCAGAAAAAGAGAAAUUCCAUGAAACUAAUCAUACUUGUCUCUUCACGGAUCCUGCCUCUGAGCAAUCUCGGUCUGCCGAAGAUGAAUACCUUACAUGGCAGGAGUAGAAUGUUGACUUUGUCUGGCUUUAUUAGUUAACUUUACGUAGCAGGUUUGGCCAUGAGAACCGAU